CAGCAGCCGCGGGAAAACAGAGGGUGCAAGCGUUAAUCGGAAUUACUGGGCGUAAAGCGCGCGUAGGUGGUUCGCCAAGUUGGAUGUGAAAUCCCCGGGCUCAACCUGGGAACUGCAUCCAAAACUGGCGAGCUAGAGUAUGGUAGAGGGUGGUGGAAUUUCCUGUGUAGCGGUGAAAUGCGUAGAUAUAGGAAGGAACAUCAGUGGCGAAGGCGACCACCUGGACUGAUACUGACACUGAGGUGCGAAAGCGUGGGGAGCAAACAGGAUUAGAUACCCCCGUAGUCCCUGUCUCUUAUAC
RNAcentral lists this ribosomal RNA (301 nucleotides) under uncultured bacterium. RNAcentral's name for it is "partial 16S ribosomal RNA". It matches the Rfam family "Bacterial small subunit ribosomal RNA", at positions 509 to 807 of the family's 1533-position model. The record is from RNAcentral.